UACGGAGGAUGCGAGCGUUAUCCGGAUUUAUUGGGUUUAAAGGGUGCGUAGGCGGAUUUUUAAGUCAGCGGUAAAAUGUCCGGGCUCAACCCGGGCCGGCCGUUGAAACUGGGGAUCUUGAGUGGGCGAGAAGUAUGCGGAAUGCGUGGUGUAGCGGUGAAAUGCGUAGAUAUCAGGAGGAAUACCGUUAGCGAAGGCGGCAAUCUGGCUGGAAACUGACGCUGAGGUGCGAAAGCGUGGGUAGCAAACAGG
Molecule: ribosomal RNA, 252 nt
Filed under: uncultured Bacteroidales bacterium
Lineage: Bacteria; Pseudomonadati; Bacteroidota; Bacteroidia; Bacteroidales
Description: partial 16S ribosomal RNA
Rfam family: Bacterial small subunit ribosomal RNA
Source: RNAcentral